This 765-nucleotide ribosomal RNA is filed under the name uncultured Weissella sp. Its description in RNAcentral is "bacterial SSU rRNA". It matches the Rfam family "Bacterial small subunit ribosomal RNA", at positions 100 to 851 of the family's 1533-position model. The record is from RNAcentral. Lineage: Bacteria; Bacillati; Bacillota; Bacilli; Lactobacillales; Lactobacillaceae.
GAACGGGUGAGUAACACGUGGGAAACCUACCUCUUAGCAGGGGAUAACAUUUGGAAACAGAUGCUAAUACCGUAUAACAAUGACAACCGCAUGGUUGUUAUUUAAAAGAUGGUUCUGCUAUCACUAAGAGAUGGUCCCGCGAUGCAUUAGCUAGUUGGUAAGGUAAUGGCUUACCAAGGCGAUGAUGCAUAGCCGAGUUGAGAGACUGAUCGGCCACAAUGGGACUGAGACACGGCCCAUACUCCUACGGGAGGCAGCAGUAGGGAAUCUUCCACAAUGGGCGAAAGCCUGAUGGAGCAACGCCGCGUGUGUGAUGAAGGGUUUCGGCUCGUAAAACACUGUUGUAAGAGAAGAAUGACAUUGAGAGUAACUGUUCAAUGUGUGACGGUAUCUUACCAGAAAGGAACGGCUAAAUACGUGCCAGCAGCCGCGGUAAUACGUAUGUUCCAAGCGUUAUCCGGAUUUAUUGGGCGUAAAGCGAGCGCAGACGGUUAUUUAAGUCUGAAGUGAAAGCCCUCAGCUCAACUGAGGAAUUGCUUUGGAAACUGGAUGACUUGAGUGCAGUAGAGGAAAGUGGAACUCCAUGUGUAGCGGUGAAAUGCGUAGAUAUAUGGAAGAACACCAGUGGCGAAGGCGGCUUUCUGGACUGUAACUGACGUUGAGGCUCGAAAGUGUGGGUAGCAAACAGGAUUAGAUACCCUGGUAGUCCACACCGUAAACGAUGAGUGCUAGGUGUUUGAGGGUUUCCGCCCUUAAGUGCCGCAG